This 274-nucleotide ribosomal RNA is filed under the name uncultured bacterium. RNAcentral describes it as "partial 16S ribosomal RNA". It matches the Rfam family "Archaeal small subunit ribosomal RNA", at positions 473 to 747 of the family's 1478-position model. The record is from RNAcentral.
AAACCAGCACCUCAAGUGGUCAGGAUGAUUAUUGGGCCUAAAGCAUCCGUAGCCGGCUCUGUAAGUUUUCGGUUAAAUCUGUACGCUUAACGUACAGGCUGCCGGGAAUACUGCAGAGCUAGGGAGUGGGAGAGGUAGACGGUACUCGGGAGGAAGUGGUAAAAUGCUUUGAUCUCUCGAUGACCACCUGUGGCGAAGGCGGUCUACCAGAACACGUCCGACGGUGAGGGAUGAAAGCUGGGUGAGCAAACCGGAUUAGAAACCCCGGUAGUCC